This 74-nucleotide transfer RNA is filed under the name Anaerolineaceae bacterium. Its description in RNAcentral is "tRNA-Trp". It matches the Rfam family "tRNA". Rfam says of the family: Transfer RNA (tRNA) molecules are approximately 80 nucleotides in length. Their secondary structure includes four short double-helical elements and three loops (D, anti-codon, and T loops). Lineage: Bacteria; Bacillati; Chloroflexota; Anaerolineae; Anaerolineales; Anaerolineaceae. RNAcentral also lists the same sequence under 1 other name. The record is from RNAcentral.
AGGCCAGUAGCUCAAUUUGGCAGAGCGCGCGUCUCCAAAACGCGAGGUUGUGGGUUCAAUUCCUACCUGGCCUG